This 253-nucleotide ribosomal RNA is filed under the name uncultured bacterium. RNAcentral describes it as "partial 16S ribosomal RNA". It matches the Rfam family "Bacterial small subunit ribosomal RNA", at positions 524 to 776 of the family's 1533-position model. The record is from RNAcentral.
UACAGAGGGGGCAAGCGUUGUUCGGAAUUACUGGGCGUAAAGGGCGCGUAGGUGGCCCGCUAAGUCGAACGUGAAAUCCCCGAGCUCAACUCGGGAACUGCGUCCGAUACUGGCGGGCUUGAAUCCGGGAGAGGGAUGCGGAAUUCCAGGUGUAGCGGUGAAAUGCGUAGAUAUCUGGAGGAACACCGGUGGCGAAGGCGGCAUCCUGGACCGGCAUUGACGCUGAGGCGCGAAAGCUAGGGGAGCAAACGGG